Molecule: ribosomal RNA, 232 nt
Filed under: uncultured bacterium
Lineage: Bacteria
Description: partial 16S ribosomal RNA
Rfam family: Bacterial small subunit ribosomal RNA
Source: RNAcentral
CGGGUGAGUAACGCGUGAGGAACCUGCCUCAAAGAGGGGACAACAGUUGGAAACGACUGCUAAUACCGCAUAAGCCCACGGCUCGGCAUCGAGCAGAGGGAAAAGGAGCAAUCCGCUUUGAGAUGGCCUCGCGUCCGAUUAGCUGGUUGGUGAGGUAACGGCCCACCAAGGCGACGAUCGGUAGCCGGACUGAGAGGUUGAACGGCCACAUUGGGACUGAGACACGGCCCAG